This 833-nucleotide ribosomal RNA is filed under the name Cellulosimicrobium sp. RNAcentral describes it as "bacterial SSU rRNA". It matches the Rfam family "Bacterial small subunit ribosomal RNA", at positions 18 to 863 of the family's 1533-position model. The record is from RNAcentral. Lineage: Bacteria; Bacillati; Actinomycetota; Actinomycetes; Micrococcales; Promicromonosporaceae.
CAUGGCUCAGGACGAACGCUGGCGGCGUGCUUAACACAUGCAAGUCGAACGAUGAAGCCCAGCUUGCUGGGUGGAUUAGUGGCGAACGGGUGAGUAACACGUGAGUAACCUGCCCUUGACUUCGGGAUAACUCCGGGAAACCGGGGCUAAUACCGGAUAUGAGCUACCUUCGCAUGGGGGUGGUUGGAAAGUUUUUCGGUCAGGGAUGGGCUCGCGGCCUAUCAGCUUGUUGGUGGGGUGAUGGCCUACCAAGGCGACGACGGGUAGCCGGCCUGAGAGGGCGACCGGCCACACUGGGACUGAGACACGGCCCAGACUCCUACGGGAGGCAGCAGUGGGGAAUAUUGCACAAUGGGCGCAAGCCUGAUGCAGCGACGCCGCGUGAGGGAUGAAGGCCUUCGGGUUGUAAACCUCUUUCAGCAGGGAAGAAGCGCAAGUGACGGUACCUGCAGAAGAAGCGCCGGCUAACUACGUGCCAGCAGCCGCGGUAAUACGUAGGGCGCAAGCGUUGUCCGGAAUUAUUGGGCGUAAAGAGCUCGUAGGCGGUCUGUCGCGUCUGGUGUGAAAACUCGAGGCUCAACCUCGAGCUUGCAUCGGGUACGGGCAGACUAGAGUGCGGUAGGGGAGACUGGAAUUCCUGGUGUAGCGGUGGAAUGCGCAGAUAUCAGGAGGAACACCGAUGGCGAAGGCAGGUCUCUGGGCCGCAACUGACGCUGAGGAGCGAAAGCAUGGGGAGCGAACAGGAUUAGAUACCCUGGUAGUCCAUGCCGUAAACGUUGGGCACUAGGUGUGGGGCUCAUUCCACGAGUUCCGUGCCGCAGCAAACGCAUUAA